CAUUACAGAGAAGAAACAUGGUGAAGACCCAUCUGCCUCCAAGGCCUCCCUCUGCAUUUUCAGGAGAGGAGCUCCGACUUACUUGGCACCUGAAGCAGGUGGCGUCCUAAGGGCCAGGGGCAUCCUGAGCUCAGGUAGCAAGUUCAGGGUGAGUGGAGGCAAAGAAAGAAAAGGAGGGGCUGAAAUUAUUGCCAUGCUGAGCUUAUGCAUUGUCUUCUUACACAGGAAAGAAAUACUAGACUCCAGAAAUCUUUUCCUCCCCUCCUCCCAAAGACACACACACACACACACUUACAGAUACACAGUCGCGCACACACCCACACACACACAAACUCCUUUAAAUCCCUAGACCUUUUCCCUCAAUUUCCUUAUGAAAAGCUUCACUCAAGAUGUUAGUCCCCAGCCACCACAAAACAUGAGGGUUAAACCUGAAGUUCUCACAAGUCAUGCAUGACCUUAUGCAACACACCCAAGAGCACUCGGUGAAGAAUUUCACAUAUGCUGCAAAAGGGGAGAGAGGGGAACCUACAUUCAUCAAAUCACAGGCAUGCUUCUUGCAAGUUCUUAAUAGCAAAUCAAGGGCUAAAAGCCUAGAAAUGUGGACUCACCUCAGAAAUAGAAAAUAUUUGUUUUAGUUUGUACAUCUUGUAUUUUUAAGCCAACGACGCCUCAUUUCCUCUGCAGAAUCUUUUUCUUUAGUGAAAUAUCUUUGUGGGUUUUUUUUCUUUUUCAUUUUAUAGGAACUUUCUGUCUGAUUCUACCUUCUCCCCUGAUCUUGGUUUAUUGUUAAAAAUAAAUGCCUUCCUUUAAAGUAACCUCCCACCUUUUGUGCUGUGCUAGGAGAAAAAAAGAGGAAAGUUAGCUAUAAAGAAAACAAUGACUCUGGUGCCAGGAGGUGGGAAUGAUUUAAAAUGCCUCCAUCCAAUUGAGCAGAAAACCUGUGGCCCUUUGAAGCUGAACUCUGGAAGUCACACUGCACAUAAUUGGAAUCAGUGUGAAUAUCACAUGCAGCAAAAUGAGAAAAUGUCACUGACUUGUCCUUCUUUGGUGAAGAAAUGCUUACCUUUCUGUUCGAAGGGCUCAGAAGGACCAACUCAGAUGAGAGCAAUUUCUUCCCCAUCCUUUUACUGUGAGUCCCUGUGCCCCUCUUGAAAGGGGGCCUCACAUCAGAAAAAGCUAUGGGACAGAAUUGCCCCUCCAUUUUCUUCUUAAAUAGCCAUUCAUGACACACCAGAGGAUGCCUCCUGCAUUCAGGAGAGCGCUGCACAUGCCGAACCACACAUACCCAAGUGAGAUCGAGGGGAGGGAUGGAGGGACGGCCAGGAAGUUGGGUGGUUUGGGCCAGGAUGGAGCCCUUCUGUACCGGGAGUUCCGCUGUAGCCCAGUGAGUGAAGGAUCUGGUGUUGCUGCAACUACCACCAGGGGCUGGAAAUAGAAGAGGAGGAGCAGAGAUACUUCCACGUUAAGAUGGUGCCUCUGGUGGUUUUGCCUGGUCAUAGCCGAGAGGGACACUUGGAGCAUCACAGGACGGAUGGGGUAAUGGGACAGAAAUGGGAGAGUGGACUCAUCACCAGAGGCCUUGGGCAAGACAAGGUUACCGGAGCCAUUGAGGUGAGUGGGGAUGAGUGAGUCUCCGCAGUCCUGCCAUGACCCCGGAGCCACACCCCAGUGGCUGCAGGACUUGGUGGGCUCAACUCUCACUGGUCUUUUGUCACUCAGGCCUGUGUUUGCAUGCAGUAUUUUGCACUUCUUUUUCCGUGGCUUUCUGCAGUGGGCUGGGCCUUUCUUGGCCCCUUCCCCACUAUUUCCUCUCAGCUUGAGCCAGGUCUGGGAGGAAAGCGGUCCCCAGAUCCCACCUUGGUGUCCACGUGGUCCUCACACUCACGCAGGUAACUCCCUGAACUCUACAGCUGGCAGUGAUGGGAGUGAAGGGACAGUCCUUGCUAUCAAGCCUGACUUCCUGCACCCUGGCCAAAGAACCGGGGUCCUGCCUUUAGAAGCUCUCCCUGGGCCUCACGGGGCCAUGUUCAGCUCUGGUCCUGCCAUUUUGCUGAACUCGGCAUUUAGUGAGCAUCUCCCAGAGCCCAGUCCCAUGUCACCUGAUGCUUACUGAAGGCUAGCUAGAUGCCAAGCCUGCUGAGUAUUUUAACACAUCACCUCAUUUUUCAUAACAAACUCCUAUGUAGGUAUAACUAUUAAUGCUAUUUUACUAAGGCCUGCCUUUUAGGAGCUCAUGAAUGAGGAGGAGGCAUCUAGCUACAAUAUAGUAUGAAUAUCUCAUGUAGUCAAGAGUGUCUUCAGGAGUUUCCUGGUGGCCUAGCAGUUAAGGAUCUGAUGUUGUCCCUGCUAUAGCCCGGGUCACUGUUGUGGUGACGGUUCGAUCCCAUGCCCAGGAAUUUGCACAUGCCAUGGGUACAACCACAAAAAAAAGGGGGGGAAAGCAUCUCUAUACCACCUAGCUGACAGGUUCUUCUGGGUAAUGUACACAAGACAGGCAAGGUCCCUGCUCCCCUGUGGCAGAUGCAGGCCAGCUGGAGACAGAUAAGCAGGGACAGUGGAGAUGGCCAUGGUAGUGCCUGCUCCUUGGUGGCAGGACAUCACAGGGGCUUUCCCACAAGCCUGGGGGCAGAGGGAACCUUCUGGAGAAGGUAAGUAUUCCUGUUUUCUACCAACAUUUAGCAGCUUAAGACAAUAUCUCAGCAUCCAGCACCACUCUAGAUUAGCUGGGCGGAUCCCUUGGGGGGAUCUAUCAGAUGCUGGGCAGAGCUGGGCUGGGCUGGGGUCUCAGAGGCUGGAUGCUGAGAUGGCUCCCUGACUUACAACAGGUCUGAUGGGACAGGGGGUUGACUGGGCAUCUCCACUCCCUGGGAGGUCUCCCCAUCUCUUGGCCAACAGGGCAAGGUAGGCUCAGGCCCCGAACAGCUUCUGCAGUGUCUGACUGCCUCCAGAAGCCAUAUUCCAAGAGUUCAUUGCAGAAAGCACAGGGCUUCCUUCUUCUGGCUUUGGGAGCUCCUACAGAUGUUUAUCUCACACUCUAUUGGUUAUAAGUGAAUGCCGGGUCAGCCUGAAUUUAAGAGGAGAAGCCCUAUGUUCAAAAGGCAUGAAUACAGGAGGUUAGCUCACUGGUAGCCAUGGAGACAGGGUGCACAGGAGGGAGUGGGGCUGCAAUAACAGAGCACAGGGGCUUCUCAGGUAGGCAUAGGAAAAGUUGUUAUUGACUGAGUAUCAACUCAUUAGGCAACAGACACAUCACAUUGUGAUAUUUUAAUAUACUGCAUGCAUAGUUCAAACAUACACCUAACUAUAACCAUCCUACAAGGUGAAUAUUCUAACCUUGGUUUUAAAAGUGGGUGCUCAGAUCUAUAGCACAUACAUGACUGCUCACAGUUCCUUGCAGUGGCCACACUAGGGUUUCCAAUAAAGUAAGGUUGAAUUGAGCUAUCUUCAAGGUCACUUCUGCUUAGACGGUCAGCAGAGACUUCGUAGAGGAGGUGAUGCCUUAAGAGUGUUUGCUACGGGUACAGCCCUAAAAAGACAAAAUAAAAAUAAAAACUAAAUAUAGAAAUACCAUGUGAUCCAGCAAUCUCAAUCCUGGGCAUAUAUCUGGAUACAACUCUAAUUCAAAAAGAUAUGUAAAUAACAUAAAUGUCCAUCGACAGAUGAAUGGAUAAAGGAGAUAUGAUGCAUAUACACAAUGAGAUACUACUCAGCCAUAAAAAAGGAACAAAAUAAUGCCAUUUCCAGCAACAUGGAUGGACCUAGAGAUGAUCACACUAAGUGAAGUUAGUCAGACGGUGAAAGACACCACUUAUAUUUGGAAUCUUAUUUUUAAAAUGAUACAGAAGAUCUUAUUUCUAAAAUGGGAACAAACUCACAGAUUUCAAAACCAGUCUUAUGGUUACCACAGAUGAAACCAUGGAGAGGAGGAAAGAAUUGGGAGGGUGGGAAUAACAUAUUCACAUGACUGUAUAACACAGAUGACUAACGGGAACCUACUGUAUAGCACAGGAAAAUCUACUCAAUAGUUUGUAAUAACAUACAUGGAAAAAAAGAAUGGACAUAUGUAUAUGUAUGACCAAUUCACUUUGCUGAACACCUGAAACUAACACAACAUUGUACAUCAACUAUAUGCCAAUAAUUUUUAAUAAUUUAAAAAUAAAAAAUAAAAUGUACUGUAUAAACACAUAAAAAUAAAUGCAUAAACAGCGUUUAUGCUCCCUCCUUCCAGACGAUGCUGCCAAGCCCCACAUCAGACCCUCAGCAUCUUGCAGCAGCCUCUCCACUGCUUUCUCUCCCUCCAGGCUCAGCUCCUCUGGAUAAUCUCCAAACUAUAGCCCCCAAUGUUUUCCUAAAAGGCAGCCUCCAUCUUUCACUAUGAGAUUCAGUAGUCUAAUAUUGGAAGUUCAGACUCCAGAACACACUUUGUGAUGUGUUUUUUGCAUCUCUCUUGUCCCACCACCCACUGUCCUUCCUACACACGUACCUGCUUGCCUGAGCCCUGCAAGUCCCCAUACCCCCAGCCCACCUCCAAUCUGUCCAUGCUAUUCUCUUAUUCUCUCUGCCUGCAGUAUCCCUACCUCUCUCAGCUUCUGGACAAGAGUCUGCCUGGGUGAGAGUCAAUCUGCACUGUGGAAAUCAACCUUGUUCCAGCUCCACUGCCCCCUCCCUAAUAUCACAGUACCUUCUACUGUCCAUUUGCCUUUCAGAGCCAUCCUGGGGAAUAAAGAAAGACACAUUCAAAGAGAAUUACUGUCCCUGCCUGUCUCUCCAUUCCUAACACCUUUCCCAAUCACACACCUGCCUUUGUAGAAGCAUGGCUAUGACGGACACAUACAUCCAUGGGUGCAAAAUAACCUUGAAUCAAUUUUAGUGGAUGUGGGCACAGGGACUGUGCAAAGAUUGGCAACAUCACAGGUUUGCUCAAGGCCAUACCUGGUGUUUUCCUACUUUCUAAAUCCCUCACGCCUCAGUCCCAAACUGAGCUUGCUUUGAAUGCCUGGCUGCUCUAUAUGAAAUAAAGGCUGCUCAGAGUCCCUUGGUGGCUCAGACGGUUAAAGAUCCAGCGUUGUCACUGCUGUGGCACAGGUUAGAUCCCUUGCCCAGGAACUUCUGCAUGCCAGAAGUACAGCCAAAAAAAUAACUAAAAUUUUAAAUAAAAUAAAAACAGCUAAAGCUUCUGUGCCCAGGGUAGAAUAUUCUGGUCAUCAGAAGUCUGUUGGUAAAGAGACCCCCGUUGACCUUUUAUCAGGGCCCAGGUUGCCUCAUUUCUUUCCAGUAUGUCCAAGAUUUAUUCUGUUUCAAAUACUCUCUGGGAACCAAAAUUUGGUAAAAGUAGAUUACAUUUAGAGAAAUAGUCUACCUGGCACAUAUUUUGAGUACCAUCUUAUUUAAGCCUCUCUCAUUUUGAAAUAUUUUCUCUGCCAUCAUUCAGGUGACAUCAAGGCUCAGAAGAAAAAAAAAAAAUGUGACUUGCUCAUGGUCACAUGACUGGUGACGCCCCCAGCCCAGGUGCCACAGACUCAGAUUCCAGCUCUAUGCACCAGCUCACUACCCAAAUACACAGAACAUUCCUAUCAACUUCCCAUGCCCUUUUAUACAUUAACUUUUCUUCUAGCUUCAGCAAAGACGCUAUUACCGGUUUCUAUUAUCUGCAGACACUCACUGCAGGCAAUUUCUUUAGGAAAACACCCUGUCUGUGUCAUGAUAAGGAAUGCGCACCAAAGGCUUGCUAUUUGCUUUUUCACCUCUCUUUGUCUUUUGACAGCGUAUCUUUUUCUAAACCCCACUUUAUUGCUGGUAUUAACACCCUCCUAUUUUUAGGAAAUGACUUCUUAGGGUUUCUCUGAUGCCCCAGAAACUGUUCCUCUCAAAGUCGCUUUCUAUGAUACAAUCUUUCCAGCAGAACUAAAUAAUUGUUUGAAUGAAUGGUCAGUAGUUUGAAGCCUUUAAUUGAGCAGCAAAAGACACAGUUAGGAUGUACUCCUCAAAACAGGAUCCAGAAAACAAGAAGCUGCAACAUUUG
Molecule: long non-coding RNA, 6022 nt
Filed under: Sus scrofa (pig)
Lineage: Eukaryota; Metazoa; Chordata; Mammalia; Artiodactyla; Suidae
Description: lncRNA (ENSSSCG00000049655.2)
Source: RNAcentral